RNAcentral lists this transfer RNA (85 nucleotides) under Gammaproteobacteria bacterium. RNAcentral describes it as "tRNA-Leu". It matches the Rfam family "tRNA". From Rfam's summary of the family: Transfer RNA (tRNA) molecules are approximately 80 nucleotides in length. Their secondary structure includes four short double-helical elements and three loops (D, anti-codon, and T loops). Lineage: Bacteria; Pseudomonadati; Pseudomonadota; Gammaproteobacteria. The record is from RNAcentral.
GCGAAAGUGGCGGAAUUGGUAGACGCGCCAGAUUUAGGUUCUGGUAUCGUAAGAUGUGAGAGUUCGAGUCUCUCCUUUCGCACCA